GUUCCCAUCCCGAACACGGCAGUUAAGCUCUUUUGCGCUGAUGGUAGUUGGGGGUCUCCCCCUGUGAGAGUAGGACGUCGCUGGGC
This 86-nucleotide ribosomal RNA is filed under the name Planococcus sp. CPCC 101016. The record is from RNAcentral. Lineage: Bacteria; Bacillati; Bacillota; Bacilli; Caryophanales; Caryophanaceae.